GCGAGCGCUGCUGCUGCCGCCGCUGCUCCGCCAAACUGCUGACUUUCCAGAGCUUAUUUUUAGCCCGGAGACUAAAUAUUAUUAGCUACAUUUCUACGUAGGAAGAAUCGGAAGCGCGGGGAGGGGUGGGGGAAGGCACUAGAGAUAGGGAGGGAGAUGAGCAGAAAGCUUAUCCGUAUGAUCUCCAGCUGGGGGGGCUGCGUUUGGGUUUCAGGCUUGGCAAACGCGCACACACACACACCAUUAAUUAUAGCAAAGUAGCUGCGGAUAUUGGAUCAUCAGGAAUACAUGCACGGCUCUCCCUUUGAGCCUUAGGUUGCGUAUACAGAGGGGUCAGCUAAUCUCCGUGUAGGUAAAGAUCAGCUGCGUCCCUUUAUCUGUGAAAGAUCAGUCCUGCACAUCAGUGCCAGCUAGAGCUCAGCUGCAUCUCUUUAGCUAUGCAAAAUCAACUUGAAUCCUUAGCCAGGAAGGGAAAAAAAAAAAAAAAAUCCGUCGCAUCUACUUCUCUUGGUAAAGAUCAGUUGCAUCUCUGCCCAAAGCAUGCACAUACACAUAGACGAGAUUCCCAGGUUAAAUCAGGCACAACUUAAGUUAACUCGUAGUUAAAACUCAUCCAGCUUUUCCUUCCUUCCUCACACACAUCAAGCAGCAAGCAAGGUAACAAAACUAGGCGAAGAGCAGGCACCCAUCCCCGCACCACAGAGAGGUAGAGGCAGGAGCCAGAGGGGCUGCCGGGGGUGUCCCCCCUCUUGUCCCCCCUCUGCUUACCUUGGUUACAGCUAACACCACGAGCAGUGGCUAGAUCGCGGAGAUAAAUACUGGCAUUUCCCAAAGUUGACACCGUCAAACCAACCCCCGGAGCUUGCAAGACUCUUUUUUUUUUUUUUUUUUUUUUUUUUUUUUUUUUUUAUCCCUCCUCUCUUGUUCCUAUUCCAGUCCGCACCGCUAGGAAUUCAACUUAGCCCAGCUCCAGCGGGGCGAGAGGGCGGCGGGCGGGGAGAGGAGGGGAGUGGAAGCACCGAGGGUUGGCGGGGGAGGGAAGCCGGUACCCAGCGCCAGUGGCUCCCCGAGCCCGCCGGGUCGCGGAGCGAUGCGGAGCGGUGCGGGGCCGCCUCCGCCGGCCCCCGCCGCCGCUGUCCAGGGUACUGCCGCCGCCGCCUCCCCGCUUCGCUCCGCCGCCGCGCCCGCUGCGCGCCCGGGCCGCUCCUCGCCGCGGCCCCCCGCCUAUCACGUGCCGCUCCGCGCGGUUCCGCGCCCCCUCCGGGGCAGCCCCGAGCCCCCGGCCCCCCCGACGGCAGGCGGCAGCGCCCGCCGAGAGAGAGGCGAGCGCCCGGCGGCAGCCCGGCCGCCACAGCUCCAAGUUUCUCUCUCAGACGCGCCGUUUCCAUCGCAGCCCUAAAUCAAAGAGCGCCGCAAUUAAAGUUACACCGUCUAAAACACAAUUCUCCCGGCCUCCGCCGGUUACGCUCUUUGGCGUAUUAAGUACUAUAAAGCCGAGCCCGUGGUAUCAGAUGCUGUCGUUAAGCAACAUCUCAAGCUUUUUGGUGUAGUUGUUUUGUUCUUCUCUCCAGGUUUUUUUUUUUUGGUUUGGUUUUUUUUUUUUUUUUUUUUUUUUUUUUGGUAGGUACUCACCAUUGUUUCUUUGCUGUCCUGGAGACAGAAGUGGUUUAAAAUCCAGUCUCUCCAACAGAUGCUGGAAGGUAAUGUGUCUUGUUUGAAGUCAUCAUGUGAGAACUUCUGCUUUGCUCAGUGGAUCGCCCACCACUUGGUGUGACUUAUGAAUCUAAUAACCCUUUGCAAUAUCCGCAAGCUUAAACUCUCCACCACCUUGGUGCCUACAGAAGACAGAAAGCAACUGGCAGCGUGUUUUAAAAACCUAUAGAUUUACGCAAACGCCUUAGCUCAGAGUCACGUUUCCCUCUGAGUUCUUACGUGAUCUUAAUGAAUGAGAGGGGUUACCAACCAAUACAGUAUAAAACGUGAUGGCAGCCGCCUCCCAGGAAAUCGGAGCGGGACACUAAAAUUCCCGAGCGAAGUCCUGGCCGGCCGGGCGCGCUCCGCAGCGAGCGUUGACUCCCACCGCCCUCCUCCCACCUCCCGGCUCGCACCUGGGGCCGUGCAAGACGAGCCGGCUCCGGAGAUUUAUGUUCGGGACAGGUCCCCUGUAAGUGCUGAAAGAUCUCUGCAGAGACUUUAAUAGAUGCAAACUCUCAAGAAACAUCUUUCUGUCAAAACUGAAACAGAUUGUGGUGUUCAGCAGCACAUUUCUCUACUAGGGAAACAUUCUUGGUACUGUAGUUUUGCUCUUUGUCUGAUGUUUUCUCCAAGGAUUUUCUGAUUAAACAUGGUGAUGAUGGAUGACAGCAGUCAUACUACAGUUGCUACUAACACACACAAGCCUUGCCAGAGGUGAAGUAGAUGUAAUUUGCUUUUAUUUAAAAGCUUUUGUUCGAUAUUACUUUCACAGCCUGAUCUGGCACUUGUAGUCAAGCAACAUUCCCAGUUCCAUCAGCCCUUAAGGUCCUGGUCUGAUUUUAUGAGGAAAAAAAAAGGGACAGACCUUUGGCUUGAUGGUUUUCUGGGAUCUCUGCCACAGUCUGGAAAGCAACAAAUUCCUCUACCUGGUGGUUUUGGUGUGUGUAGGAAAGGGGAUAAAUCUUCAGAUGACUUGCUGCUGGACACUAGCAGUAUCAUGGAAUGUACUAAAAAAUAAUAAAAAUCCUGAUCCUGAUUGCUUCUUUGAAGGUAGAGCAUAAUGAUUUUUAUAUGCCGAUAGUAAAAUACACAGCCAAGGUACACUAUACUAACUUCAAUGGAAAGAACAACUUAAAAAUUCUAAUAUGAAAGGGAAAACUUGAUAAAACUCUGAGUAAUACAUGUAAAACAUGCAUAUCAAAUGAUAUUUAUACAACAUAUGAACAAAAUAAAGUAGUUCCUGGAAA
Taeniopygia guttata (zebra finch) is the source of this 2942-nucleotide long non-coding RNA. RefSeq lists it as uncharacterized. The record is from RefSeq and is a predicted model, not a curated record. NCBI's taxonomy places the organism in Eukaryota, Metazoa, Chordata, Aves, Passeriformes, Estrildidae.